UACGUAGGUGACAAGCGUUGUCCGGAUUUACUGGGCGUAAAGAGCGCGCAGGCGGUCGAUCAAGUCGAGUGUGAAAGCCCCCGGCUCAACUGGGGAGAGUCAUUCGAUACUGAUCGACUCGAAGGCAGGAGAGGGUAGUGGAAUUCCCGGUGUAGUGGUGAAAUGCGUAGAUAUCGGGAGGAACACCAGUGGCGAAGGCGACUACCUGGCCUGUUCUUGACGCUGAGGCGCGAAAGCUAGGGGAGCAAACGGG
This 253-nucleotide ribosomal RNA is filed under the name uncultured bacterium. RNAcentral describes it as "partial 16S ribosomal RNA". It matches the Rfam family "Bacterial small subunit ribosomal RNA", at positions 524 to 776 of the family's 1533-position model. The record is from RNAcentral.